This 407-nucleotide ribosomal RNA is filed under the name uncultured bacterium. RNAcentral's name for it is "partial 16S ribosomal RNA". It matches the Rfam family "Bacterial small subunit ribosomal RNA", at positions 28 to 526 of the family's 1533-position model. The record is from RNAcentral.
GACGAACGCUGGCGGCGUGCCUAAUACAUGCAAGUAGGACGCAGUUGCGAACGGGUGAGUAACGCGUAGGUAACUGCCUAUUAGAGGGGGAUAACUAUUGGAAACGAUAGCUAAUACCGCAUACUAGUAGAUGGACCUGCGUUGUAUUAGCUUGUAGGUAGGGUAAUGGCCUCACUAGGCGACGAUACAUAGCCGACCUGGGAGGGGUAUCGGCCACACUGGGACUGAGACACGGCCCAGACUCCUACGGUAGGCAGCAGUAGGGAAUCUUCGGCAAUGGGGUGAAACCUGACCGAGCAACGCCGCGUGAGUGAAGAAGUUUUUCGGAUCGUAAAGCUCUGUUGUUAAGGAAGCGGUACUUAACCAGAAAGGGACGGCUAACUACGUGCCAGCCGCCGCGGUAAUUC